UAGGGAAUCUUCCGCAAUGGACGCAAUUCUGACGGAGCAACGCCGCGUGAGUGAAGAAGGAUUUCGGUUCGUAAAACUCUGUUGUUAGAGAAGAACAGCGCAUAGAGUAACUGUUAUGCGUGUGACGGUAUCUAACCAGAAAGCCACGGCUAACUACGUGCCAGCAGCCGCGGUAAUACGUAGGUGGCAAGCGUUGUCCGGAUUUAUUGGGCGUAAAGCGAGCGCAGGCGGUCAAUUAAGUCUGAUGUGAAAGCCCCCGGCUCAACCGGGGAGGGUCAUUGGAAACUGGUUGACUUGAGUGCAGAAGAGGAGAGUGGAAUUCCAUGUGUAGCGGUGAAAUGCGUAGGUAUAUGGAGGAACACCAGUGGCGAAGGCGACUCUCUGGUCUGUAACUGACGCUGAGGCUAGAAAGCGUGGGUAGCAAACAGG
This 429-nucleotide ribosomal RNA is filed under the name Bacteroidota bacterium. Its description in RNAcentral is "Bacteroidetes bacterium partial 16S ribosomal RNA". It matches the Rfam family "Bacterial small subunit ribosomal RNA", at positions 355 to 776 of the family's 1533-position model. Lineage: Bacteria; Pseudomonadati; Bacteroidota. The record is from RNAcentral.